This is a long non-coding RNA of Pollicipes pollicipes, 335 nucleotides long. RefSeq lists it as uncharacterized. The record is from RefSeq and is a predicted model, not a curated record. Lineage: Eukaryota; Metazoa; Arthropoda; Thecostraca; Pollicipedomorpha; Pollicipedidae. The transcript has 3 exons.
GGCGAAGAUUGUGUUGGUAGGUAGGACUUUGGCCCUCGGGUGAGGCAUUUAGGAAGCUUAAUUUCUGUGACAGUGGUAGUGGAUUGAACUUCUGCAAUCUAGCUAAUGUGAAGACGAGAGGCCCGUACGCAGGAUCAGUAUGGCCGACUUCGACCCUCAAGAUAGUGAUGAGUCGGGUGAUGAGGACAGCUGGAAGGAUUCAACCCAUUCUGGCCGUGAUGGUGCCAUUUUUCUGGUGGAAGUAUCCCCAGAAAUGUUUCAGAAGCGGGAGGAUGAGGAAGAUAGCUUUUUACAGCUGGCAUUAAGGUGCUCCCUCUCCAUGAUCGUCAACAAGG